CGAGGAAAACAGGCAGUCGCGUGGCCAGGCCGAAAGGCCGUCCAUGAGGAAAGUCCGGGCUCCACAGGGCAAGGAUAACGGGUAACGCCCGCCGAAGGCGACUUCAGGAAAAGUGCAACAGAGAUAUACCGCCUCCCCCCGUUUUUUAAUGGGGUCCCCGCAAAAUCAAAGAUUUUGUGAGGAGAGGAGGAAGGAAUGAUGCGGACUCCGUCUCCGCCGAAGGCGGGGACGGAGCAGGACGGAAUUCCUUCCGGCGAGGUAAGGGUGGAAAGGUGCGGUAAGAGCGCACCCGACGGCUGGGAACAGCCCGUCGCUGUAAACUCUAUCCGGAGCAACACCGGUAUGGGAGCAUGCAGGCUGGCCCGGCCGCUCCCGGGGUGGCUGGAGCGCGCUGGCAACAGCGCGCCUAGAUAGAUGACUGCCAAAUACAGAACCCGGCUUACAGUUUUGCUCGCAAA
This 458-nucleotide RNase P RNA is filed under the name Oscillibacter sp. RNAcentral's name for it is "RNase P RNA component class A". It matches the Rfam family "Bacterial RNase P class A". From Rfam's summary of the family: Ribonuclease P (RNase P) is a ubiquitous endoribonuclease, found in archaea, bacteria and eukarya as well as chloroplasts and mitochondria. Its best characterised activity is the generation of mature 5'-ends of tRNAs by cleaving the 5'-leader elements of precursor-tRNAs. The record is from RNAcentral. Lineage: Bacteria; Bacillati; Bacillota; Clostridia; Eubacteriales; Oscillospiraceae.